RNAcentral lists this ribosomal RNA (636 nucleotides) under uncultured bacterium. RNAcentral describes it as "bacterial SSU rRNA". It matches the Rfam family "Bacterial small subunit ribosomal RNA", at positions 8 to 655 of the family's 1533-position model. The record is from RNAcentral.
AGAGUUUGAUCCUGGCUCAGAGUGAACGUUGGCGGCGUGGAUUAGGCAUGCAAGUCGAGCGAGAAGUCUGCUUCGGCAGGCGGACAGCGGCGAAAGGGACAGUAAUGUGUAGGUACCUACCCUCGGGUCCGGGAUAGCUGCGGGAAACUGCAGGUAAUACCGGAUGAUAUCUCCGGAUCAAAGGUGUGAUUCCGCCCGGGGAGGGGCCUGCAUCCUAUUAGUUUGUUGGUGGGGUAACGGCCUACCAAGGCUACGAUGGGUAGCGGGUGUGAGAGCAUGACCCGCGUCAUUGGGACUGAGACACUGCCCAGACACCUACGGGUGGCUGCAGUCGAGAAUCUUCGGCAAUGGGCGAAAGCCUGACCGAGCGACGCCGCGUGCGGGAUGAAGGCCUUCGGGUUGUAAACCGCUGUCGUAGAGGAGGAAAUACAGGGGGGUUCUCCCCUUUGUUUGACCUAUUCUAGGAGGAAGUACGGGCUAAGUUCGUGCCAGCAGCCGCGGUAAGACGAACCGUACAAACGUUACUCGGAAUUACUGGGCUUAAAGGGUGCGUAGGCUGCGCGGAAAGUUGGGUGUGAAAGCCCUCGGCUCAACCGAGGAAUUGCAUCCAAAACUACCGUGCUCGAGGGAGACAGA